RNAcentral lists this ribosomal RNA (253 nucleotides) under uncultured bacterium. RNAcentral's name for it is "partial 16S ribosomal RNA". It matches the Rfam family "Bacterial small subunit ribosomal RNA", at positions 524 to 776 of the family's 1533-position model. The record is from RNAcentral.
UACGGGGGGGGCAAGCGUUGUUCGGAAUUACUGGGCGUAAAGGGCGCGUAGGCGGCCUUCUAAGUCGGACGUGAAAUCCCUCGGCUUAACCGAGGAACUGCGUCUGAUACUGGAAGGCUUGAAUCCGGGAGAGGGAUGUGGAAUUCCAGGUGUAGCGGUGAAAUGCGUAGAUAUCUGGAGGAACACCGGUGGCGAAGGCGGCAUCCUGGACCGGCAUUGACGCUGAGGCGCGAAAGCUGGGGGAGCAAACGGG